Molecule: ribosomal RNA, 570 nt
Filed under: Rhodotorula mucilaginosa
Lineage: Eukaryota; Fungi; Basidiomycota; Microbotryomycetes; Sporidiobolales; Sporidiobolaceae
Description: eukaryotic LSU rRNA
Rfam family: Eukaryotic large subunit ribosomal RNA
Source: RNAcentral
CUCUGAUCCCUAGUAGCGGCGAGCGAAGCGGGAAGAGCUCAAAUUUAUAAUCUGGCACCUUCGGUGUCCGAGUUGUAAUCUCUAGAAAUGUUUUCCGCGUUGGACCGCACACAAGUCUGUUGGAAUACAGCGGCAUAGUGGUGAGACCCCCGUAUAUGGUGCGGACGCCCAGCGCUUUGUGAUACAUUUUCGAAGAGUCGAGUUGUUUGGGAAUGCAGCUCAAAUUGGGUGGUAAAUUCCAUCUAAAGCUAAAUAUUGGCGAGAGACCGAUAGCGAACAAGUACCGUGAGGGAAAGAUGAAAAGCACUUUGGAAAGAGAGUUAACAGUACGUGAAAUUGUUGGAAGGGAAACGCUUGAAGUCAGACUUGCUUGCCGAGCAAUCGGUUUGCAGGCCAGCAUCAGUUUUCCGGGAUGGAUAAUGGUAGAGAGAAGGUAGCAGUUUCGGCUGUGUUAUAGCUCUCUGCUGGAUACAUCUUGGGGGACUGAGGAACGCAGUGUGCCUUUGGCGGGGGUUUCGACCUCUUCACACUUAGGAUGCUGGUGGAAUGGCUUUAAACGACCCGUCUUAA